GUGUCAAACCGGAGGAAGGUGGGGACGAAGUCAAGUCAUCAUGCCCCUUACGUCCAGGGUUGCACACGCGCUACAAUGGCCGGUACAAAGGGCUGCAAANUCGCGNGAGUGAGCCAAUCCCAUAAAGCCGGUCUCAGUUCGGAUCGCAGUCUGCAACUNGACUGCGUGAAGUCGGAGUCGNUAGUAAUCGCAGAUCAGCACGCUGCGGUGAAUACGUUUCCCGGGCCUUGUACACACCGCCCGUCACACCACGAAAGUGGGCAA
This 264-nucleotide ribosomal RNA is filed under the name uncultured bacterium. RNAcentral describes it as "partial 16S rRNA". It matches the Rfam family "Bacterial small subunit ribosomal RNA", at positions 1155 to 1417 of the family's 1533-position model. The record is from RNAcentral.